Molecule: ribosomal RNA, 373 nt
Filed under: uncultured Nitrososphaerota archaeon
Lineage: Archaea; Thermoproteati; Nitrososphaerota
Description: bacterial SSU rRNA
Rfam family: Archaeal small subunit ribosomal RNA
Source: RNAcentral
AGCAUCCGUAGCCGGCUGCUCAAGUUUCCGGUUAAAUCCACACGCUUAACGUAUGGGCUGCCGGAAAUACUGUUCAGCUAGGGAGUGGGAGAGGUAGACGGUACUCGAUAGGAAGGGGUAAAAUCCUUUGAUCUAUUGAUGACCACCUGUGGCGAAGGCGGUCUACCAGAACACGUUCGACGGUGAGGGAUGAAAGCUGGGGGAGCAAACCGGAUUAGAUACCCGGGUAGUCCCAGCUGUAAACGAUGCAGACUCGGUGAUGCAUUGGCUUAUGGCCAGUGCAGUGCCGCAGGGAAGCCGUUAAGUUUGCCGCCUGGGAAGUACGUACGCAAGUAUGAAACUUAAAGGAAUUGGCGGGGGAGCACAAGCCGAA